This 491-nucleotide ribosomal RNA is filed under the name uncultured bacterium. RNAcentral's name for it is "partial 16S ribosomal RNA". It matches the Rfam family "Bacterial small subunit ribosomal RNA", at positions 29 to 506 of the family's 1533-position model. The record is from RNAcentral.
AGUGAACGCUGGCGGUAGGCCUAACACAUGCAAGUCGAACGGCAGCACAGUAAGAGCUUGCUCUUACGGGUGGCGAGUGGCGGACGGGUGAGGAAUACAUCGGAAUCUACUUUUUCGUGGGGGAUAACGUAGGGAAACUUACGCUAAUACCGCAUACGACCUACGGGUGAAAGCAGGGGAUCUUCGGACCUUGCGCGAUUGAAUGAGCCGAUGUCGGAUUAGCUAGUUGGCGGGGUAAAGGCCCACCAAGGCGACGAUCCGUAGCUGGUCUGAGAGGAUGAUCAGCCACACUGGAACUGAGACACGGUCCAGACUCCUACGGGAGGCAGCAGUGGGGAAUAUUGGACAGUGGGCGCAAGCCUGAUCCAGCCAUACCGCGUGGGUGAAGAAGGCCUUCGGGUUGUAAAGUCCUUUUGUUGGGAAAGAAAAGCAGCAGGUUAAUACCCCGCUGUUCUGACGGUACCCAAAGAAUAAGCACCGGCUAACUUCGU